AUUGAACGCUGGCGGCAGGCUUAACACAUGCAAGUCGAGCGGGGGAAGGUAGCUUGCUACCGGACCUAGCGGCGGACGGGUGAGUAAUGCUUAGGAAUCUGCCUAUUAGUGGGGGACAACAUCUCGAAAGGGAUGCUAAUACCGCAUACGUCCUACGGGAGAAAGCAGGGGAUCUUCGGACCUUGCGCUAAUAGAUGAGCCUAAGUCGGAUUAGCUAGUUGGUGGGGUAAAGGCCUACCAAGGCGACGAUCUGUAGCGGGUCUGAGAGGAUGAUCAGACAUACUGGGACUGGGACACGGCCCCGCUUCCUACGGGAGGCAGCAGUGGAGAAUAUUAGAGGAAUGGGGAAACCGUGAACCAGACAUGACGCGUGUGUGAAGAAGGCCUUAUGGUUGUAAAGCACUUUAAGCGAGGAGGAGGCUACUCUAGUUAAUACCUAGGGAUAGUGGACGUUACUCGCAGAAUAAGCACCGGCUAACUCUGUGCCAGCCGCCGCGGUAA
RNAcentral lists this ribosomal RNA (501 nucleotides) under uncultured bacterium. Its description in RNAcentral is "partial 16S ribosomal RNA". It matches the Rfam family "Bacterial small subunit ribosomal RNA", at positions 30 to 523 of the family's 1533-position model. The record is from RNAcentral.